AGCAGCCGCGGUAAUUCCAGCUCCAAUAGCGUAUAUUAAAGUUGUUGCAGUUAAAAAGCUCGUAGUUGAAUUUCGGGAUCAAUACGUCGGUCGUGCCUCCGGUAUGUACUGGUGUUAUUGAUUUCUCCCUUCUGACGAACCAUGAUGUCAUUAAUUUGGUGUUGUGUGGAGUCAGGACUGUUACUUUGAAAAAUUAGAGUGUUUAAAGCAAGCUCACGCUUGAAUACAUUAGCAUGGAAUAAUGAAAUAGGACGUUCGAACCUAUUUUGUUGGUUUCUAGGAUCAACGUAAUGAUUAAUAGGGAUAGUUGGGGGCAUUAGUAUUCAAUUGUCAGAGGUGAAAUUCUUGGAUUUAUUGAAGACUAACUACUGCGAAAGCAUUUGCCAAGGAUGUUUUCAUUAAUCAAGAACGAAAGUUAGGGGAUCGAAGACGAUCAGAUACCGUCGUAGUCUUAACCAUAAACUAUGCCGACUAGGGAUCGGAUGAUGUUAAUUUUUAAUGUA
RNAcentral lists this ribosomal RNA (503 nucleotides) under uncultured Glomus. RNAcentral describes it as "SSU rRNA". It matches the Rfam family "Eukaryotic small subunit ribosomal RNA", at positions 569 to 1078 of the family's 1831-position model. Lineage: Eukaryota; Fungi; Glomeromycota; Glomeromycetes; Glomerales; Glomeraceae. The record is from RNAcentral.